This 507-nucleotide ribosomal RNA is filed under the name uncultured bacterium. RNAcentral describes it as "partial 16S ribosomal RNA". It matches the Rfam family "Bacterial small subunit ribosomal RNA", at positions 355 to 878 of the family's 1533-position model. The record is from RNAcentral.
UGGGGAAUAUUGGACAAUGGGGGCAACCCUGAUCCAGCAAUGCCGCGUGUGUGAAGAAGGUCUUCGGAUUGUAAAGCACUUUCGACGGGGACGAUGAUGACGGUACCCGUAGAAGAAGCCCCGGCUAACUUCGUGCCAGCAGCCGCGGUAAUACGAAGGGGGCUAGCGUUGCUCGGAAUGACUGGGCGUAAAGGGCGUGCAGGCGGUUUACACAGUCAGAUGUGAAAUCCCCGGGCUUAACCUGGGAGCUGCAUUUGAUACGUGUAGACUAGAGUGUGAGAGAGGGUUGUGGAAUUCCCAGUGUAGAGGUGAAAUUCGUAGAUAUUGGGAAGAACACCGGUGGCGAAGGCGGCAACCUGGCUCAUGACUGACGCUGAGGCGCGAAAGCGUGGGGAGCAAACAGGAUUAGAUACCCUGGUAGUCCACGCCUGUAAACGAUGUGUGCUAGAUGUUGGGUAACUUUGUUAUUCAGUGUCGCAGUUAACGCGUUAAGCACACCGCCUGGGG